This 696-nucleotide ribosomal RNA is filed under the name Hyaloscyphaceae sp. Its description in RNAcentral is "partial large subunit ribosomal RNA". It matches the Rfam family "Eukaryotic large subunit ribosomal RNA", at positions 77 to 790 of the family's 3401-position model. The record is from RNAcentral. Lineage: Eukaryota; Fungi; Ascomycota; Leotiomycetes; Helotiales; Hyaloscyphaceae.
ACCUCAGUAACGGCGAGUGAAGCGGUAACAGCUCAAAUUUGAAAUCUGGCCCUUUCAGGGUCCGAGUUGUAAUUUGUAGAAGAUGUUUCGGGUGUGGCUCCGGUCUAAGUUCCUUGGAACAGGACGUCGUAGAGGGUGAGAAUCCCGUAUGUGACUGGCUGCCUCCGCCCAUGUGAAACUCUUUCGACGAGUCGAGUUGUUUGGGAAUGCAGCUCAAAAUGGGUGGUAAAUUUCAUCUAAAGCUAAAUAUUGGCCAGAGACCGAUAGCGCACAAGUAGAGUGAUCGAAAGAUGAAAAGCACUUUGGAAAGAGAGUUAAACAGUACGUGAAAUUGUUGAAAGGGAAGCGCUUGCAAUCAGACUUGCACGCGGCCGAUCAUCCGGGGUUCUCCCCGGUGCACUCGGUCGCGUUCAGGCCAGCAUCGGUUUGGGUGGUGGGAUAAAGGCCUUGGGAAUGUAGCUUCUUUCGGGGAGUGUUAUAGCCCUCGGUGCAAUGCCGCCAAUCCAGACCGAGGACCGCGCUUCGGCUAGGAUGCUGGCGUAAUGGUUGUAAGCGACCCGUCUUGAAACACGGACCAAGGAGUCUAACACUUAUGCGAGUAUUUGGGUGUCACACCCAUAUGCGUAAUGAAAGUGAACGGAGGUGAGAACCCUUAAGGGUGCAUCAUCGACCGGUCCUGAUGUCUUCGGAUGGAUC